AGAGUUUGAUCCUGGCUCAGAGCGAACGUUAGCGGCAGGCCUAACACAUGCAAGUCGCACGAGAAUUCGGCUUCGGCCGAUAGUAAAGUGGCGGACGGGUGCGUAACACGUGGAUAAUCUGCCCUCUGGCGGGGGACAACAGUCCGAAAGGAUUGCUAAUACCGCAUAAGUCAGCGAGCUCUUCGGAGCUUGUUGGGAAAGGUGGCCUCUUCAUGAAAGCUACCACCGGAGGAUGAGUCCGCGGCCCAUCAGCUAGUUGGCGGGGUAAUGGCCCACCAAGGCGAAGACGGGUAGCUGGUCUGAGAGGAUGAUCAGCCACACUGGAACUGAGACACGGUCCAGACUCCUACGGGAGGCAGCAGUGGGGAAUAUUGGGCAAUGGGCGCAAGCCUGACCCAGCCAUGCCGCGUGAGUGAUGAAGGCCUUCGGGUCGUAAAGCUCUGUGGGGAGGGAAGAAAAACCUUGUGGCUAACAUCCACGAGGCUUGACGGUACCUCCUU
This 500-nucleotide ribosomal RNA is filed under the name uncultured bacterium. RNAcentral's name for it is "bacterial SSU rRNA". It matches the Rfam family "Bacterial small subunit ribosomal RNA", at positions 8 to 484 of the family's 1533-position model. The record is from RNAcentral.